AAUUAAGCGGAGGAAAAGAAACUAACAAGGAUUCCAUUAGUAACGGCGAGUGAAACUGGAUCUAGUUCAGCCUGUGAAUCGCUAUCUUGUGUAGCGAGUUGUGGCCUAUAGAGGGUCUGUCGGCCUGCGUUUCUGACUAACUGUAAUGGAACUUACGGGCGUAGAGGUUGAGACCACCGUUCAUGUCAGUUUCGUUAGGCCAUGGCAUAGACCCUCCAAGAGUCAGUUUGUUUGGGAGUACAGACUAAAGUGCGAGGUAAAUUUCUCGUAAAACUAAAUAUUGGUGGGAAACCGAUAGCGAACAAGUAGUGUGAACGAAAGUUGCAAAGAACUUUGAAAAGAGAGUUAAAGAGUACUCGAAAUCGUCGAAAGGGAAGCGAUAAGAAACAGUGUGAAUCCGUGCCAUUCUUCUUCCAUCACUUGUGGUGGGAGCGCUGUGGUUCGGAGUCUGUUCACGAGGGUUUGGAUCGGUGUAUAGCGUUCCCUGGGAGGCAUACGUUUUUUCGUAGAUUACCAGGUUUCUGCAACGUCGGUCUGGAUCGAGGCUAGUAU
RNAcentral lists this ribosomal RNA (552 nucleotides) under Chaetoceros messanensis. Its description in RNAcentral is "partial large subunit ribosomal RNA". It matches the Rfam family "Eukaryotic large subunit ribosomal RNA", at positions 44 to 599 of the family's 3401-position model. The record is from RNAcentral. Lineage: Eukaryota; Bacillariophyta; Thalassiosirophyceae; Chaetocerotales; Chaetocerotaceae.